RNAcentral lists this long non-coding RNA (210 nucleotides) under Gossypium raimondii (Peruvian cotton). RNAcentral's name for it is "long non-coding RNA (GRAI_LNC008555)". The record is from RNAcentral. Lineage: Eukaryota; Viridiplantae; Streptophyta; Magnoliopsida; Malvales; Malvaceae.
UUUUUUCUUUCCAUUUUGAUUGUAGCAAUUUAGUUUUAGCAAUUUAGUCGGCAAAUUUGGUUGCUCUCACUGGUUUGAAGCAAUACACAGAAAGCCUAGAUAACCAGAAGGUUAGUUAAUCCUUUAUUUUCUUUUUCUUUUUUUAGUUUUUUAAAUUUACGUUUGAAUUUGGUAUAUUUGUAGUUGGGACUUUUUUAUUUAGGAAUUUGG